Molecule: long non-coding RNA, 411 nt
Filed under: Ananas comosus (pineapple)
Lineage: Eukaryota; Viridiplantae; Streptophyta; Magnoliopsida; Poales; Bromeliaceae
Description: long non-coding RNA (ACOM_LNC040185)
Source: RNAcentral
UGCUACAUUCCAUGUUAGAGACAUGAGGACAUAGAGAUAGGCCAUUGAGAUACUUGAUAUAUUCCAUGUUGUUAGACAUAAGGACUUGGUACUUGAGACAGAUCAUUGCUUGCUUGCCAGUGUGCUCAUUCGCACAUGCUUGUGAGGGUCGCUCCCUACAAGCCGGCACUCCGGAGAUAGCCAUCACGACAUAUGCUCGCCCGUGCGGGAUUGGACGCCGAAGUGGAUUGCCGUGGGGGAGGCUCAUCCCUAGAGUGGGGAUGUUGACUACCACGGGGCCAUUAGGCACGGCGCAGGCCAGACAGCCUUCGGGUGGGUCUUAUAUGAUUGGGACUUGGUGACAGAACAUGCUAUGUGAACCUUAUAACUGUUAAAGUGGACUUGGACUAGAAUAGUAAACAAUGACAUCUU